Molecule: small nuclear RNA, 104 nt
Organism: Suncus etruscus (white-toothed pygmy shrew)
Lineage: Eukaryota; Metazoa; Chordata; Mammalia; Eulipotyphla; Soricidae
Source: RefSeq, a predicted model, not a curated record
GUGCUCACUUCGGCAGCACAUAUACUAAAAUUGGAAUGAUACAAAAAUUAGCAUGGUGCCUGCUCAAGGAUGACAAGCAAAUUCACGAAGCAUUCCAUAUUAAA